GCUAAAGAUUCAUCGCUGAUAGAUAGGCAUGCGUUCCAUUAGGCAGUUGGCGGGGUAACGGCCCACCAAACCGACGAUGGAUAGGGGUUCUGAGAGGAAGGUCCCCCACAUUGGUACUGAGACACGGACCAAACUCCUACGGGAGGCAGCAGUGAGGAAUAUUGGUCAAUGGCCGAGAGGCUGAACCAGCCAAGUCGCGUGAGGGAUGAAGGUUCUAUGGAUCGUAAACCUCUUUUAUAAGGGAAUAAAGUGCGGGACGUGUCCCGUUUUGUAUGUACCUUAUGAAUAAGGAUCGGCUAACUCCGUGCCAGCAGCCGCGGUAAUACGGAGGAUCCGAGCGUUAUCCGGAUUUAUUGGGUUUAAAGGGUGCGUAGGCGGCCUUUUAAGUCAGCGGUGAAAGUCUGUGGCUCAACCAUAGAAUUGCCGUUGAAACUGGGGGGCUUGAGUAUGUUUGAGGCAGGCGGAAUGCGUGGUGUAGCGGUGAAAUGCAUAGAUAUCACGCAGAACCCCGAUUGCGAAGGCAGCCUGCCAAGCCAUUACUGACGCUGAUGCACGAAAGCGUGGGGAUCAAACAGGAUUAGAUACCCUGGUAGUCCACGCAGUAAACGAUGAUCACUAGCUGUUUGCGAUACACUGUAAGCGGCACAGCGAAAGCGUUAAGUGAUCCACCUGGGGAGUACGCCGGCAACGGUGAAACUCAAAGGAAUUGACGGGGGCCCGCACAAGCGGAGGAACAUGUGGUUUAAUUCGAUGAUACGCGAGGAACCUUACCCGGGUUUGAACGCAUUCGGACCGAGGUGGAAACACCUUUUCUAGCAAUAGCCGUUUGCGAGGUGCUGCAUGGUUGUCGUCAGCUCGUGCCGUGAGGUGUCGGCUUAAGUGCCAUAACGAGCGCAACCCUUGCCACUAGUUACUAACAGGUAAAGCUGAGGACUCUGGUGGGACUGCCAGCGUAAGCUGCGAGGAAGGCGGGGAUGACGUCAAAUCAGCACGGCCCUUACAUCCGGGGCGACACACGUGUUACAAUGGCGUGGACAAAGGGAA
This 1044-nucleotide ribosomal RNA is filed under the name Parabacteroides distasonis. RNAcentral describes it as "bacterial SSU rRNA". It matches the Rfam family "Bacterial small subunit ribosomal RNA", at positions 200 to 1248 of the family's 1533-position model. The record is from RNAcentral. Lineage: Bacteria; Pseudomonadati; Bacteroidota; Bacteroidia; Bacteroidales; Tannerellaceae.